CCUACGGGUGGCAGCAGUGGGGAAUAUUGCACAAUGGGCGCAAGCCUGAUGCAGCCAUGCCGCGUGUGCGAAGAAGGCCUUCGGGUUGUAAAGCACUUUCAGCGGGGAGGAAGGCGGUGAGGUUAAUAACCUCAUCGAUUGACGUUACCCGCAGAAGAAGCACCGGCUAACUCCGUGCCAGCAGCCGCGGUAAUACGGAGGGUGCAAGCGUUAAUCGGAAUUACUGGGCGUAAAGCGCACGCAGGCGGUCUGUCAAGUCGGAUGUGAAAUCCCCGGGCUCAACCUGGGAACUGCAUUCGAAACUGGCAGGCUAGAGUCUUGUAGAGGGGGGUAGAAUUCCAGGUGUAGCGGUGAAAUGCGUAGAGACCUGGAGGAAUACCGGUGGCGAAGGCGGCCCCCUGGACAAAGACUGACGCUCAGGUGCGAAAGCGUGGGGAGCAAACAGGAUUAGAUACCCUUGUAGUC
This 465-nucleotide ribosomal RNA is filed under the name uncultured Klebsiella sp. Its description in RNAcentral is "bacterial SSU rRNA". It matches the Rfam family "Bacterial small subunit ribosomal RNA", at positions 338 to 795 of the family's 1533-position model. Lineage: Bacteria; Pseudomonadati; Pseudomonadota; Gammaproteobacteria; Enterobacterales; Enterobacteriaceae. The record is from RNAcentral.